Molecule: long non-coding RNA, 475 nt
Organism: Onychomys torridus (southern grasshopper mouse)
Lineage: Eukaryota; Metazoa; Chordata; Mammalia; Rodentia; Cricetidae
Exons: 2
Source: RefSeq, a predicted model, not a curated record
UCAGCAGCGUCUGCUUUGCAAAGCUUUAAGCUCUGUUGAGUACCAUUCCGGCCCGCCCCGGGCGGUGCUGGAGGCGACGGCCUCCGGAGAGCGUGUGCAAAUGUAUACUUUGAGGUGUGGCAGGUUCCCCCACCUCCGGUUUCAGGAUCGCCCUUUCUGGAGGUGACUUGGCCUCAUGCAUGCUCUCUCCAGCCGCAGGAGCUGGAGCUGGGAGCAGCUGCUCCAGGCAGCCCUCUCCAACUCCUCUUGACCCUCGCUCAGGGCAUCACACAUCUGCUGUCACAAUGUCCCUGUCACACACUUGUUCUCAACUCCAACAGAAGUUGCUUCCUCAAAGAGUCUUGUUAGGGCUUUGUAAUAAAUCGACAUUUCCUGCCUCCCCUAUCUUAUUUGGAACAGUGAUUCAGAUAUUUGAGUUCAUGUUUCCUGAGCUACCAUUUGCUGAGACCCCAAAUAAAGUCCUUUGGCGUUUCCA